GCUCCAGUGGCGCAAUCGGUUAGCUCGUGGUACUUAUAAUGCCGAGGUUGUGAGUUCGAGCCUCACCUGAAGCA
RNAcentral lists this transfer RNA (74 nucleotides) under Alosa alosa (allis shad). RNAcentral's name for it is "tRNA-Ile". It matches the Rfam family "tRNA". Rfam says of the family: Transfer RNA (tRNA) molecules are approximately 80 nucleotides in length. Lineage: Eukaryota; Metazoa; Chordata; Actinopteri; Clupeiformes; Clupeidae. The record is from RNAcentral.